This 412-nucleotide long non-coding RNA is filed under the name Mus pahari (shrew mouse). Its description in RNAcentral is "lncRNA (MGP_PahariEiJ_G0005346.1)". Lineage: Eukaryota; Metazoa; Chordata; Mammalia; Rodentia; Muridae. The record is from RNAcentral.
AUGUGCUUCCAGACUCUGACUCUUAUCUGCGUUUUAUUGAACAAAUGAAUUUGGCUACUAAAGACUGAUCCUGGACUGACAUCUUAGAUAUUCCUUCACCAAGAAUGGAUAACAGGGCAGGAACCAAAAAUUUCCUGGUGCCUCACUCCAAGAUGCAAUAUCAGCUCUUGUCCUAAAGAUAGGAGCAACGCUGAAGGGAGCAAUGAGAUCCAGAAACACAAACCUGUGGGAAUUGAUUUAACUUCAUAGACAUUCUGUUAAAGACUUUGGACUUUGUUCGGAGUCAGAACUGCAUAGAAUAGUUUUGGAGUCUGUGUCCUGUGCCCAGGGGCUGGUGACCCAGUGUCUGUUGUGGAUGCCUAGUGUCUUUAAAUGAUUCUCCCCUACUCCACGCCACAGGGAUGGACUCUCA